UACGUAGGGUGCAAGCGUUAAUCGGAAUUACUGGGCGUAAAGCGUGCGUAGGCGGCUAUGUAAGACAGAUGUGAAAUCCCUGGGCUUAACCUGGGAACUGCAUUUGUGACUGCAUGGCUAGAGUACGGUAGAGGGGGAUGGAAUUCCGCGUGUAGCAGUGAAAUGCGUAGAUAUGCGGAGGAACACCGAUGGCGAAGGCAAUCCCCUGGGCCUGCACUGACGCUCAUGCACGAAAGCGUGGGGAGCAAACAGG
RNAcentral lists this ribosomal RNA (253 nucleotides) under uncultured bacterium. RNAcentral's name for it is "partial 16S ribosomal RNA". It matches the Rfam family "Bacterial small subunit ribosomal RNA", at positions 524 to 776 of the family's 1533-position model. The record is from RNAcentral.